GAUGAAGAACGUAGCGAAAUGCGAUAAGUAAUGUGAAUUGCAGAAUUCAGUGAAUCAUCGAAUCUUUGAACGCACAUUGCGCCCGCCAGUAUUCUGGCGGGCAUGCCUGUUCGAGCGUCAUUUCAACCAUCAAGCCCCCCGGCUUGUGUUGGGGACCUGCGGCUGCCGCAGGCCCUGAAAAGCAGUGGCGGGCUCGCUGUCACACCGAGCGUAGUAGCAUACACCUCGCUCUGGGCGUGCUGCGGGUUCCGGCCGUUAAACCACCUUCAUAACCCAAGGUUGACCUCGGAUCAGGUAGGAAGACCCGCUGAACUUAAGCAUAUCAAUAAGCGGAGGA
This 337-nucleotide unclassified non-coding RNA is filed under the name soil metagenome. RNAcentral describes it as "partial contains 5.8S ribosomal RNA, internal transcribed spacer 2, and large subunit ribosomal RNA". The stretch from base 1 to 120 matches the Rfam family "5.8S ribosomal RNA", at positions 35 to 154 of the family's 154-position model. The record is from RNAcentral.